AUUGAACGCUGGCGGCAGGCCUAACACAUGCAAGUCGAACGAGAGGCGGACGGGUGAGUAAUGUCUGUGACACUGCCUGAUGGAGGGGGAUAACUACUGGAAACUGUAACUAAUACCGCAUACCAUCAGAUGUGCCCAGAUGGGAUUAGCUAGUGGGUGGGGUAACGGCUCACCAAGGCGACGAUCCCUAGCUGGUCUGAGAGUGUGACCAGCCACACUGGAACUGAGACACGGUCCAGACGCCUACGGGAGGCAGCAGGGGGGAAUAUUGCACAAUGGGCGCAAGCCUGAUGCAGCCAUGCCGCGUGUAUGAAGAAGGCCUUCGGAUUGUAAAGUACUUUCAGCUGGGAGGCGUUACCCGCAGAAGAAGCACCGGCUAACUCCGUGCCAGCAGCCGCGGUAAUAC
This 406-nucleotide ribosomal RNA is filed under the name uncultured bacterium. RNAcentral describes it as "partial 16S ribosomal RNA". It matches the Rfam family "Bacterial small subunit ribosomal RNA", at positions 30 to 526 of the family's 1533-position model. The record is from RNAcentral.